CAAAUACUCCCUCCGUGCCAAAAUUCUUGUCUUAGAUUUGUCCAGAUACGGAUGUAUCUAGUCACAUUUUAGUGUUAGAUACAUCCGUAUCUAGACAAAUCUAAGACAAGAAUUUUGGGGUGGAGGUAAUACAAA
Molecule: non-coding RNA, 135 nt
Organism: Triticum aestivum (bread wheat)
Lineage: Eukaryota; Viridiplantae; Streptophyta; Magnoliopsida; Poales; Poaceae
Source: Rfam